AUAUGUUAUGAUGCUUUUGAGUGAAAUACGUGGACUUUUAGAGGGGUUUUAGACCCGUUGAACACUCAAAAAGUCGACAUUUAUAAAUUAUUUAUUUAUUUAUUUCAGCUUCCGGUUAACUUCUGAUUGUUUGUAAAAAUAGUUUCGAUUUUUUAAAGUGUAUUGUGUUCGUGAGAAAUGAGAUUUGUGGAUUUUGGAAUGUAUUUUUUUAUCGUGUUUGUUCGAACACUUUUUCAUAUAGUUAUUUAAAUAUAGCUUUAUUAUUACUGAAGCUUGGAAUAUUUUUAUAUGUCCAGAAUUAAUUUAAAAUUAUGCCCUUUCAUAAUAUGUAAAGCAUUCCGGCCUAGCUCCAUUUUUGCGAGGGGUCAUUUUCAAAAUCAUUUGCGUAACGUAAAUAUGGCGGACGUGACGUCAUCAGCCGCCUUCAUCCGGGGACCGAGACCCUGGACCUUCCCUCCUCCCAGUGCCCUUCCAUUAGUAUUUAGUGUUAUUUCCUAUAUUUUCCAGCUGUUUUCAUGCAUAGAGAAGAAUAGAAAGAGGAGGAAAGAAGGAGAAAUGAAGAAGGAGGAGGAAGAAGAGGGAAGGGAAGGAGGAAGAGGAGAAGGAAAAGAAGAAAUAUUAAGAAAAGAUUUUCACUGAAUUUCCAGCGUUUUAAAGAGGAGGAAGAGGAAGAAAGGAGGAUGAGGGUGAGGAAGACGAGGAAGAGGAAGAGGAUUAAAUUUAUUGCAUUUUUCUUAGACAGUCCUCAGGAUGUCAACAUUGUAUAAUGGUACAGUGUUGAGACAGGGACGGUCGCGUUAUAAUUCACUAAUUGAGGUUACUUUUGAUAAAUAAACAACUAGUACGGAGUCUUUUAAGUAUUUUACAUUAUCUUAUACCGGAAAAUAUUAAGGAAAAGUGGCGUAAAUAAGAAAAAAAAGGCAAAGAUUAGAGAUGUGGGAUUUUAUAACUUGUGGUAUCUUAAAAUACUAGUAUAAGAUAAACCCUAUGCAAAACGAAUAAUAUAACCUUUAUUAAUCAUCAUAACCUAGAAAACCGAUAAAUAUAUAUAUAAAAACCAGUGUAAUUAGUAAAAAACAAAAAAAAACUGUCCCUGGGAAGUGAGACGGCCCACAGAGUCGCGCCAAAAACGUGGAUCUACAGGCCAGGCAUCUUAUGUUUAACCAGGUGUACAAGGUGCUGGCUUUCAAGGGCUCCUCCACACCUACAGACACACGCACACACCACCAGAUACAGGAAGAAUUAAUUGAUGAGCUACAGAACUACAGCAUCGUUCAGGUGGCAGCCGGAGACCAGCACUCUCUUGCUCUCACCUCCUGGGGCCUGAGAUCAGCUGAUCUUAAUCAGCAGCUGAUCUGAUCAGCUGCUUAAGUGUAAGCACAACACACUCCCUCUUUUGUACAACUUGAGGCAUGAUGAAGGCGUCAGGCCAUAAACAGUGCACACGCGGGACUGAGUCACUCGGUAAACACAGUGCAGUGGGCCGCGGGUGGCGCCAAGCAGUGCGCUGUGGUGGCCAGGGGACACACUAUGCCUUGCGCGGGAAUUUUAAUCGAUUUUGUGAGUACACAUUGAUUUUUUAUUGAUUUUAAGGCUCAGGGAAAAAUGUGCCGGAUACUUGAAGCUGCCGGAUACUGGAAUGCCGGAUGAGAGGGAUUUUACUGUAUAUUCAAAUUAUUUCUCCUAGACAGGUUAGGUUCUCUCCCUCUCCCCUCUCUCUCCAAUCUCCCCUCUCACUCUCUCUCUCUCUCUUUAAAGGUAUAUUAUAUCUUAAGUUGGGUUUUGUUAGAUUAGGUCUUAGUUCUCUCUCUCUCUCUCUCUCUCUCUCUCUCUCUCUCUCUCUCUCUCUCUCUCUCUCUCUCUCUCUCUCUC
Molecule: RNA transcript, 1872 nt
Organism: Scylla paramamosain (green mud crab)
Lineage: Eukaryota; Metazoa; Arthropoda; Malacostraca; Decapoda; Portunidae
Gene name: RCC1 and BTB domain-containing protein 2-like
Exons: 4
Source: RefSeq, a predicted model, not a curated record